GACCUGGUGGUGAAAUGAAUCACACCUACUUUGUUUAGCACAGCUAUGAAAAUAGUGUUUGUGGGAAUCCCUGGUUCAAAUCCAGGCUAGGUCA
Non-coding RNA from Mycena leptocephala, 94 nucleotides. NCBI's taxonomy places the organism in Eukaryota, Fungi, Basidiomycota, Agaricomycetes, Agaricales, Mycenaceae. The record is from the annotation of a GenBank genome assembly.